UUUGGAGAGUUUGAUCCUGGCUCAGGACGAACGCUGGCGGCGUGCUUAACACAUGCAAGUCGAGCGGUAAGGCCCUUCGGGGUACACGAGCGGCGAACGGGUGAGUAACACGUGGGUGAUCUGCCUCGCACUCUGGGAUAAGCCUGGGAAACUGGGUCUAAUACCGGAUAUGACCUUACAUCGCAUGGUGUUUGGUGGAAAGAUUUAUCGGUGCGAGAUGGGCCCGCGGCCUAUCAGCUUGUUGGUGGGGUAAUGGCCUACCAAGGCGACGACGGGUAGCCGGCCUGAGAGGGCGACCGGCCACACUGGGACUGAGACACGGCCCAGACUCCUACGGGAGGCAGCAGUGGGGAAUAUUGCACAAUGGGCGAAAGCCUGAUGCAGCGACGCCGCGUGAGGGAUGACGGCCUUCGGGUUGUAAACCUCUUUCGACAGGGACGAAGCGCAAGUGACGGUACCUGUAGAAGAAGCACCGGCCAACUACGUGCCAGCAGCCGCGGUAAUACGUAGGGUGCGAGCGUUGUCCGGAAUUACUGGGCGUAAAGAGCUUGUGGGCGGCUUGUCGCGUCGAUCGUGAAAACUUGGGGCUCAACCCCAAGCUUGCGGUCGAUACGGGCAGGCUUGAGUCCUUCAGGGGAGACUGGAAUUCCUGGUGUAGCGGUGAAAUGCGCAGAUAUCAGGAGGAACACCGGUGGCGAAGGCGGGUCUCUGGGAAGUAACUGACGCUGAGAAGCGAAAGCGUGGGUAGCGAACAGGAUUAGAUACCCUGGUAG
Molecule: ribosomal RNA, 773 nt
Filed under: Nocardia cyriacigeorgica
Lineage: Bacteria; Bacillati; Actinomycetota; Actinomycetes; Mycobacteriales; Nocardiaceae
Description: bacterial SSU rRNA
Rfam family: Bacterial small subunit ribosomal RNA
Source: RNAcentral